This 936-nucleotide ribosomal RNA is filed under the name Lactiplantibacillus pentosus. RNAcentral describes it as "bacterial SSU rRNA". It matches the Rfam family "Bacterial small subunit ribosomal RNA". The record is from RNAcentral. Lineage: Bacteria; Bacillati; Bacillota; Bacilli; Lactobacillales; Lactobacillaceae.
GUGCUUGCGGCGUGCUAUACAUGCAGUCGAACGAACUCUGGUAUUGAUUGGUGCUUGCAUCAUGAUUUACAUUUGAGUGAGUGGCGAACUGGUGAGUAACACGUGGGAAACCUGCCCAGAAGCGGGGGAUAACACCUGGAAACAGAUGCUAAUACCGCAUAACAACUUGGACCGCAUGGUCCGAGUUUGAAAGAUGGCUUCGGCUAUCACUUUUGGAUGGUCCCGCGGCGUAUUAGCUAGAUGGUGGGGUAACGGCUCACCAUGGCAAUGAUACGUAGCCGACCUGAGAGGGUAAUCGGCCACAUUGGGACUGAGACACGGCCCAAACUCCUACGGGAGGCAGCAGUAGGGAAUCUUCCACAAUGGACGAAAGUCUGAUGGAGCAACGCCGCGUGAGUGAAGAAGGGUUUCGGCUCGUAAAACUCUGUUGUUAAAGAAGAACAUAUCUGAGAGUAACUGUUCAGGUAUUGACGGUAUUUAACCAGAAAGCCACGGCUAACUACGUGCCAGCAGCCGCGGUAAUACGUAGGUGGCAAGCGUUGUCCGGAUUUAUUGGGCUUGGGCACUCUGGUGAGACUGCCGGUGACAAACCGGAGGAAGGUGGGGAUGACGUCAAAUCAUCAUGCCCCUUAUGACCUGGGCUACACACGUGCUACAAUGGAUGGUACAACGAGUUGCGAACUCGCGAGAGUAAGCUAAUCUCUUAAAGCCAUUCUCAGUUCGGAUUGUAGGCUGCAACUCGCCUACAUGAAGUCGGAAUCGCUAGUAAUCGCGGAUCAGCAUGCCGCGGUGAAUACGUUCCCGGGCCUUGUACACACCGCCCGUCACACCAUGAGAGUUUGUAACACCCAAAGUCGGUGGGGUAACCUUUUAGGAACCAGCCGCCUAAGGUGGGACAGAUGAUUAGGGUGAAGUCGUAAACAAGUAGCCAUCCCA